RNAcentral lists this ribosomal RNA (459 nucleotides) under uncultured marine organism. RNAcentral describes it as "SSU rRNA". It matches the Rfam family "Bacterial small subunit ribosomal RNA", at positions 354 to 827 of the family's 1533-position model. The record is from RNAcentral.
GUAGGGAAUUUUCCGCAAUGGGCGAAAGCUUGACGGAACAAUACCGCGUGAGGGAUGACUGCCUAUGGGUUGUAAACCUCUUUUUUCAGGGAGGAAUAAUUGACGUGUACCUGAAGAAUAAGCAUCGGCUAACUCCGUGCCAGCAGCCGCGGUAAGACGGGGGAUGCAAGUGUUAUCCGGAAUCACUGGGCGUAAAGCGUCUGUAGGUGGUUAAAUAAGUCAACUGUUAAAUCUUAGGGCUUAACCUUAAAAUCGCAAUCGAAACUAUUAGACUAGAGUAUAGUAGGGGUAAAGGGAAUUUCCAGUGGACCGGUGAAAUGCGUAGAGAUUGGAAAGAACACCAAUGGCGAAGGCACUCUACUGGGCUAUUACUGACACUCAGAGACGAAAGCUAAGGUAGCAAAUGGGAUUAGAUACCCCAGUAGUCUUAGCCGUAAACAAUGGAUACUAGGUGUUGAA